This 759-nucleotide long non-coding RNA is filed under the name Sarcophilus harrisii (Tasmanian devil). Its description in RNAcentral is "lncRNA (ENSSHAG00000027050.1)". Lineage: Eukaryota; Metazoa; Chordata; Mammalia; Dasyuromorphia; Dasyuridae. The record is from RNAcentral.
AUCCCUUCUUGCAACUGCUGAGCAAAAAUAAAUACGGCAUCAGAUAUGACAUAAAAUUUGAUAUAAUAUUAAAAUAAAUAGGUAAAUUUUUGUUUUAAAGUCAAAAUGUCUAGGACGUCCAUCCCGGCGAGCUCCUGAUGCUUCGCCCCACAACUCCCUCCUAGGUCUCCCCAGGUUCUAACUGCUGUGUCAUAAUCGACUUCUCAAGCUAGGAAACGUCUACUCAAAGAUUCUUCUUAGGUUUACCUAGCCUUGCCUGCAGCGCUGUUCCCAACCUCAAUGUCCUGAUGGCGAGAGUCCUUUCUAUCUUCUUCAGUGAAAUUAAGAAUGACAAAUUAAACGUAAGACGCCCACAACUUUAAAUAGAAUGGGAGGAGCAAAUCCAACUUUCAUCCCUACAUCUUUUCCUACAAGACUAUUGUCCUCUAAAUGUUAUUUUGGAAGAGAAGGAAUUUUAAGAAAUGCUCUUCAGUUCCUGCAGAACCUGCAUAAAACUCAGAGGGACCUGUUGCACCUUCUCUGGGAGGCUCUUCCAGUUCCUGUCACUGAUCCAGCGCAUCCCUACCAGCCGGGUGACAAAAAGUAAUUCUCUACAACUGGUCUCAAACCUUGGUGAAUAGGACCUUAUACUAUAGUCCUCACUACACCCAAAGCUGUGGGUCCAUCCUCUCCUGGAUCCGGUACAGCAGAUUAAAACCUGCAGUCACUACAGAGUGGAAGAGAGAGAUCUUGAAGGACUCAUUGAAACUAAGACUGGCU